ACAAACUAUUUUUCCACCCACCACCGUAUAUCAUCCUUCAUUGUUCCAUCAUCGCCAACCCCACAUCUUCUAUUCCACCGGAUUUUCUUGACAUAGGUGAUAGGACAAAUUACUUGUCGGAGGUGUCUAUAGAGGUGAAUAUAAUUAUUACAUCUUAAGACUCCGAGGAAGAUGUUCGAUCCAUGAGAAAAUUCAAUUUAAUUCAUGGAGAAAUUAAAAUUCAAUUCAUGAAGAAGUUGAAAUUUAAUUCAUGAGAAAAUUGAACGAUUUGAUGCGAAUUUAAUGAAAUCGGUGGCGGCACUGUUAAACCUUUUCACUCACAACCUACAUUCCAUCUCCUGCUAUUGUUCUUUAAUUUCUUUUAAUUCUAGUUGUCGUUGUUGUUGUUGUUGGGUAUUAUGGAAUUGUCAGCGAGGGUGAAUUAUAUUAACGAUGAUGGUGGGGAUUUAGAAAUUGACGAAGAUGAAGGUUGUAUUGCUCUUGGACCUUGGUGAUAGGUAAUAUGAAGAUAACGACCACAAAUAUGGUUUUAAGAGUGGUGGUGGAUUUGUGAGUUGGUGGUAGUUAUGAUGAAGAAGAUAAAGAGUAGUCAAUGGUGCGUUGAUAAAAUCGACUACGCCAGUCCUUGCUGAUGGAACCAAUUUUGGUGGAAUUCGUCGAUUUUACCUUUUUGAGGUAUUGGUCGCUGUCAAUGACAUUUUUCGAUGGAUUUGACUAUGGUGGAGCUCUGGUGAGCUUCACCGGUGAACUCAGACUGGAAAGAAAUGAUGGGUGAUUGUGGGAUGACGUUUUUCGGCUAGAUUUCACAGGAAAAUCAGACCCAAAUAUUUAUCUACCACUAUUCUUGAUUAUUUUUCUUCAAAUUUUGGUGUGUGC
Molecule: long non-coding RNA, 876 nt
Filed under: Capsicum annuum
Lineage: Eukaryota; Viridiplantae; Streptophyta; Magnoliopsida; Solanales; Solanaceae
Description: long non-coding RNA (CANN_LNC012609)
Source: RNAcentral